GCAGCUCGUGUGGCUUCUGCACCCUGGUGGAGCCAACACACGUGCCUGUCACGGAGGUGAGGAGUGAGUGAGUUCUCACCAGCAUUUGACGCUGACCUUCCGGAGACAUGGCGUCCCUGAGAGCCUGCAGCCUGCCAGAGCAGAGAGCCACCCGCUGGCCGUUCUGUUGGAAUUUCGGAGUUCCUGUCUUUCAGGCAACAUCUGCCAAGCGCGGUUUGUAGAAGCAGAGGAACACGUCAUGGAGACGGACCGAGUUGAAGGAGCCAGGGAUGGUGACAAGCGGAAGGAAGUGUGUUUUGUCCCCAUCCAGGGAAGCUUUUGUUUCAUGAGACUUACUUGCGCACGUCUGGUAGCUGCCCUGGACAUUCAUGGACUUUCGUUUUCACUCAGAUUUUGUGGUUCACGUGACACAAAGCAUGAGGACAUCACUGGGCGAGAGGGCCAGGUCACCCCACUGCCGAGGGGCACGCCCCAGCUGUGCACCGCUAGAGUGGGCUUGUCCAGUCCUCGGACACGGGGACAGGGUGUGCCCAUCUCAUGUAAGACAUGAAUAAUAGUAGAAAUUUCUGUUGCAUGAGAACUCUCUGCAUUAUCCUCACCAUUUUCCUGUAAGCGUAAAACGUCUAAAACUUUUUUAUGAGCAC
RNAcentral lists this long non-coding RNA (644 nucleotides) under Homo sapiens (human). Its description in RNAcentral is "long non-coding RNA NONHSAT167269.1". The record is from RNAcentral. Lineage: Eukaryota; Metazoa; Chordata; Mammalia; Primates; Hominidae.